AAAAAGAUGUUUAUGAAUUUGAAUAUUUAAAUAGUUAUUGAUUAUUUGCUAUUUUCUGGUGUAGUAGCUAAGAAAUAUAAUUGAAAUAAAAGUUUGUGUUUAACCGAAAGAUACAUUUUUGAUUUCUAACUCUUUGUUCACAUUUGACAUAACAGACUGUUUUUCCAAGAAUACUUGUAGAGAUGGGUAUUGCAAGAUCAUUUUUGUAUACGUGCCUAUUCAAGCACAAGGAAAUGCAUACACUUCUAAAAACAAACCACAAAGGUUCUUCAUUUUGAUGCCAUAGAUCAGGUGUCUCCCACCCUGCUCCUAGUGAGCUACCGUCCUGCAGACUUCUAACCCAGACCCAACACACCUGAGCUGAGGUAUUUGCAGAUAUGUUUGUAAAGAGGACUUUGCGACCCACGACUGCCAUAACCAAAAUCUGCCAGAAUAAAGAUGAUUUUGGGGGAGAAAGACAAAGACAUUUUUUUAAUGAGUAAUUGAACAUUUUGUACUGCAAAUAUUGUACACCAUUCCUGAUGUAAAUUAAAUAAUAUAUAUUAAAUAUAUUUGAAAUGAACUGUUUGAUUCUGUUUUAACCAACUUUUAUUUAUUCAACGAUGUUACCAAUUGAAAAAAAUGUAUUGCACU
Paramisgurnus dabryanus is the source of this 633-nucleotide long non-coding RNA. RefSeq lists it as uncharacterized. The record is from RefSeq and is a predicted model, not a curated record. Lineage: Eukaryota; Metazoa; Chordata; Actinopteri; Cypriniformes; Cobitidae.